RNAcentral lists this ribosomal RNA (467 nucleotides) under uncultured bacterium. RNAcentral's name for it is "partial 16S ribosomal RNA". It matches the Rfam family "Bacterial small subunit ribosomal RNA", at positions 29 to 507 of the family's 1533-position model. The record is from RNAcentral.
ACGCACGCUGGCGGCGUGCUUAACACAUGCACGUCGCACGGAAAGGCCCUGCUUUUGUGGGGUGCUCGAGUGGCGAACGGGUGAGUAACACGUGAGUAACCUGCCCUUGACUUUGGGAUAACUUCAGGAAACUGGGGCUAAUACCGGAUAGGAGCUCCUGCUGCAUGGUGGGGGUUGGAAAGUUUCGGCGGUUGGGGAUGGACUCGCGGCUUAUCAGCUUGUUGGUGGGGUAGUGGCUUACCGAGGCUUUGACGGGUAGCCGGCCUGAGAGGGUGACCGGCCACAUUGGGACUGAGAUACGGCCCAGACUCCUACGGGAGGCAGCAGUGGGGAAUAUUGCACAAUGGGCGGAAGCCUGAUGCAGCAACGCCGCGUGCGGGAUGACGGCCUUCGGGUUGUAAACCGCUUUCGCCUGUGACGAAGCGUGAGUGACGGUAAUGGGUAAAGAAGCACCGGCUAACUACGUG